Molecule: unclassified non-coding RNA, 617 nt
Filed under: Hevea brasiliensis (rubber tree)
Lineage: Eukaryota; Viridiplantae; Streptophyta; Magnoliopsida; Malpighiales; Euphorbiaceae
Source: RNAcentral
AUGAUUUCCAGCAGGACCUGUAGAUUGUGCCUGUGGAACCCAAACCUGGUAGCCAUUAUGAAUCCAAAUUCGAAUUGCAACAGAGAGACAUGCCACCAUGAGUGGGACAGUGAGGGACAACCCCAGGAGCACUGAUGAUUUGCUGCAGAAUAAUUACGUAUAUUAAUGGAUAUCAAAGUUCAGCAUUGCAUUUCCACAUAAUUAGCAAGAGACAGAGUAAGUGUUGGAAACUAAAUUAUGUGUAUCUAGAAAUAUGGAUAAUUAGUAUGCGUGAAAUAAGUUGAUACAAUAAGUUUUCAAAUAAAUUGACAUAAUAAUUAUUCAAGUUAUAGUUUUCAAUAAAUACUUAAGUUCUGUUAACAUGAUGAUUAUCUCAUCAAAUAGUUGAUAUAACAAGUUUUCCAUAAGUUUUUCCCAGAUUCAUCUCACCAGCCAAAUUUCACUCUCAGUAACCACCUACUACCCACAAUCUCAACAAGGUCUUGUGGAAUUAAGAGAAAGAAAUGGUAAACCGAAAUUGUCAGAGAAAAAUUAGGGAAGGCUAUGGCCAAGAUUUCUGAAGAAUUAGAAGAAAUACAAAGAAUUGUAUGAGAAAAUUAGCUUGAUUAUUCUCUCAA